UACAGAGGUCCCGAGCGUUGUUCGGAUUUACUGGGCGUAAAGGGCGCGUAGGCGGCUUGCUAAGUCGGAUGUGAAAUCUCCGGGCUAACCCGGAAAGUGCGUCCGAAACUGGCAGGCUGGAGUCCGGGAGGGGGAAUCGGAAUAUAGGGUGUAGCGGUGAAAUGCGUUGAUAUCCUAUAGAACACCGGAGGCGAAGGCGGAUUCCUUGAACGGUACUGACGCUGAGGCGCGAAAGUCGGGGGAGCAAACA
RNAcentral lists this ribosomal RNA (250 nucleotides) under uncultured prokaryote. Its description in RNAcentral is "partial 16S ribosomal RNA". It matches the Rfam family "Bacterial small subunit ribosomal RNA", at positions 524 to 774 of the family's 1533-position model. The record is from RNAcentral.